Mizuhopecten yessoensis (Yesso scallop) is the source of this 341-nucleotide long non-coding RNA. RefSeq lists it as uncharacterized. The transcript is spliced from 2 exons. The record is from RefSeq and is a predicted model, not a curated record. Lineage: Eukaryota; Metazoa; Mollusca; Bivalvia; Pectinida; Pectinidae.
CUGCCAAAUAUACUACAGAAGACCUUUGUUAAGAUAAUGACUGACAAUGCCUGUUCCGUUUCUCUCGGUUCUAGCUUGAACAGCGACAUACACAUUUGUGUAGACGGUGCAGGCACCUCUGGAGGUUGCAAUGGCGACAGUGGCGGUCCUUUGGUGUGUAGAGUCGGUAAUGACUUUGAACUUGCUGGUGUGACGUCAUUUGUCUUUGGAAAAUGUUUGACAAGCUAUCCUACAGUAUACGCCGAGACGUACGCCUUCAGGACCUGGAUCCAAAACGUCAUGAAUAACAUGUAAUCAAAGUUGUAAUCGUGUUAUUUCAACAAUAAAAUACGUAAUGUCUC